Molecule: long non-coding RNA, 2146 nt
Filed under: Homalodisca vitripennis (glassy-winged sharpshooter)
Lineage: Eukaryota; Metazoa; Arthropoda; Insecta; Hemiptera; Cicadellidae
Description: uncharacterized LOC124357887
Source: RNAcentral
CGUUAAGGUAAUUAUACUGGACUGGUAGAACGGAAUACGUACUAUCGAUUAUUAUAACGUAUUGUUACCAAAGUUAAAGGUGAAUACGCACUAAUUGAGUAUUAUGUUGACGCAUGGAUUUGAGGUUAAGUUGUAAGACAAUAAUGCAGUCAAAAGCUUGUAGAGGAUCAUGAAACGAAAUUUAAAAAGUGGCAUAUCAGCUGAGCUGCUUGCAGAUAAUCUAUUUGGGACUGUCGAACUGUGACCACAUUAGAUCUUCACUUGUGGACUAUUACUUCUUCAGGGCACUGAUUGUCAUCUGUAAACAACGGAAUCUUGAACAUCAUUUUGUGAUCAUUCCAAGAACCAAUUUCUGCUCUUAUAAAUGGAGUCUACAGUUGCUGUGUCCAUACAAGAUCUACCUCCAGAAAUAAUUGAAAUCAUUGCAACUUAUCUGGGAGGUGACGAUCUCCAUAGUUGUUUCAGUGUCUUUAGGGAUUGGGAAAGGAAUUUAAACUCAAACAAGUUUUGGAAAAAACUCUGUGUUUAUCCUGAAAAGUAUUUUAAAACUGCAGGAUGUACUUUAGGGUCUAGAGGUAACAAAGACUAUGAAGAGGUAUGUUUUUGGAAGAAAAGUUAUGAUCGUCAAAAGUUGCUUUGGGAUAACUGGAGUAAGGGACGAUUUACAAAGAAAAAGACUGAUAUGUGUCUGUCAAUGUUAAGUUAUUUAGUUUAUUUUGUUGAUAACUUUGGAAAUUAUUGGUUACUAUAUUCCAAUUAUGAUGAUGGUAUAUCAGUUUGGAAAAUAGAUGAAAUCCCAGACUUUCAUUGUAAACUUGACGAAAAAGAUCAGUUUGGUAUAGUGCCUAUUAAGAAUAAACUUUUAACACACGUUACAGAUUAUAUACAGAUUUUUGAGUUUAAACCUCCAGAAAAUGAGCUCCUGCUUCAGUAUAGGUUCAAAUUCAAUGAAGACACUAUCAUACCUAAAGAUAAUGUGUUUAUAAAUGAGUAUGUUUUGCAGUCAACGAUUCAUUAUUGUUGAUAAUUUCUUAAUCGGUUACUGUGAAAAUAUCACAGAUUUCAUUCACACUUAUGUUCACAUUUGGGACUGUGAUUCAGGUGAAAAAGUAGCAACACAAAGUAUUUUUCAGCACUCAUUUGUUGAUUACAUGUUAUCAUCAACUGGCAUUGACAUCACUAAAGAUUUUGAUGGAGGAGGUUUGUUGCUUUUUGAAAGUGAUUCCAGACGAUUUCUGGUCAAUACAAUGGCCUGUCCGUAUAAACGAUGUGAAAUAAGUUUGUUUAGUUUGGAUGAGAUGAAGUUUGUCAAUGUAGUGGCUCGCAUAGAGAGUGGUAGUGCUUGGUGUUUCAUGAAGGGAGAUACGAUCUCUAUCUUAUAUAUAAGCGAUUGGUACCAAGUGUCUGUGUACAAUACCAGAGGCAAAUUCUUGGCUAAGUUGGAUUUCCCUGGUUUACGACUUAAUCCUCAUCUAAAUAAUAGGUUUUGGAUGACAAGCACGAAAGUUAUUGUCAUUGUUGAUGAUAUGAUUCAUGUACUGGAUAUUAUUAACUCAGAGAAUGUGUGUGAAAGAAGUUUCACUACCAACACAGAUAAGUUUAUACUUGGGUAUGUUGAACCAAGAUUUUUAUUGUUGUGUGAAAAAGUCAUCUUAACUACCUUGGAUGUUAGUAGUAUAUAUGUAAAUAUCUGGGACAUUGAGUCUGGCUUAAAACUGUGGGACUUAGGACACUUAGAAAGUAUUGAUUCAUGUCGUUUUCUGUUUGCUUCAUCAGUCUAUCCAAGUAAAGUAAUUGUACAAUUUUCAGGUGAGGAAGAAGUGAGCAUGUUGGAUUUUGAAGGUGAAUAAGAUAUUUGACAAGUCAUUUUGAGUGAAAUAACUAAAUUAUAUUAUAGAUUUAAGUAUAAUUAAAAGUAAUUAUUUUAUUAGAAAAGAGUCUAGAAGUAUUUUAAUAACACAUUGAAUCCUUUUGUGAUUUUAAAAAAUUUUGAAAAUUAUGAAGACAUUGUUUAAACCUAACAUAUUAUAUAUCAAAUAUUAAAGUGGAGAAACGCACUUUUAGAAAAUAAAAUAAUUAUCUGAAAAAGUUAUGAGGUAAGCAUAAUUAUGGAAAAAAAUAAAGUUGUUUAAAUUGUAACAUUGUA